GAGUUUGAUCCUGGCUCAGGAUGAACGCUAGCGGCAGGCUUAACACAUGCAAGUCGAGGGGUACAUAGAAAAGCUUGCUUUUCUGAUGACGACCGGCGCACGGGGUGCGUAACGCGUAUACAAUCUGCCUUAUACUGGGGUAUAGCCUUUAGAAAUGAAGAUUAACCCCCCAUAGUCUCUUUAAAUGGCAUCAUUUUUAGAGUAAAGGUUACGGUAUAAGAUGAGUAUGCGUUCUAUUAGUUUGUUGGUGAGGUAACGGCUCACCAAGACUGCGAUAGAUAGGGGCCCUGAGAGGGGGAUCCCCCACACUGGUACUGAGACACGGACCAGACUCCUACGGAGGCAGCAGUGAGGAAUAUUGGACAAUGGAGGCAACUCUGAUCCAGACAUGCCGCGUGCAGGAAGACUGCCCUAUGGGUUGUAAACUGCUUUUAUACAGGAAGAAACCUUGGUACGUGUACCAAGCUGACGGUACUGUAAGAAUAAGGAUCGGCUAACUCCGUGCCAGCAGCCGCGGUAAUACGGAGGAUCCAAGCGUUAUCCGGAAUCAUUGGGUUUAAAGGGUCCGUAGGUGGAUAAUUAAGUCAGGGGUGAAAUCUUGCAGCUCAACUGUAAAAUUGCCUUUGAUACUGGUUAUCUUGAGUCAUUAUGAAGUAGUUAGAAUAUGUAGUGUAGCGGUGAAAUGCAUAGAUAUUACAUAGAAUACCAAUUGCGAAGGCAGAUUACUAAUAAUGUACUGACACUGAUGGACGAAAGCGUGGGUAGCGAACAGGAUUAGAUACCCUGGUAGUCCACGCCGUAAACGACGGUUACUAGCUGUGUGGACUUCGGUCUGCGUGGCUAAGCGAAAGUGAUAAGUAACCCACCUGGGGAGUACGUUCGCAAGAAUGAGACUCAAAGGAAUUGACGGGGGCCCGCACAAGCGGUGGAGCAUGUGGUUUAAUUCGAUGAUACGCGAGGAACCUUACCAGGGCUUAAAUGUAAGUUGCAUUAGCUAGAGAUAGCUAUUUCUUCGGACCUCUUACAAGGUGCUGCAUGGUUGUCGUCAGCUCGUGCCGUGAGGUGUCAGGUUAAGUCCUAUAACGAGCGCAACCCCUGUUGUUAGUUGCCAGCGAGUCAUGUCGGGAACUCUAACAAGACUGCCGGUGCAAACCGUGAGGAAGGUGGGGAUGACGUCAAAUCAUCACGGCCCUUACGUCCUGGGCUACACACGUGCUACAAUGGUCGGUACAGAGAGCAGCCACUGCGCGAGCAGGAGCGAAUCUAUAAAACCGAUCACAGUUCGGAUCGGAGUCUGCAACUCGACUCCGUGAAGCUGGAAUCGCUAGUAAUCGGAUAUCAGCCAUGAUCCGGUGAAUACGUUCCCGGGCCUUGUACUCACCGCCCGUC
Molecule: ribosomal RNA, 1389 nt
Filed under: uncultured marine bacterium
Lineage: Bacteria
Description: bacterial SSU rRNA
Rfam family: Bacterial small subunit ribosomal RNA
Source: RNAcentral